CCUACGGGUGCAGCAGUGGGGAAUAUUGGACAAUGGGCGAAAGCCUGAUCCAGCCAUGCCGCGUGUGUGAAGAAGGCCUUCGGGUUGUAAAGCACUUUCAGUGGGGAAGAAAGCCUUGGGGCUAAUACCCUCGAGGAAGGACAUCACCCACAGAAGAAGCACCGGCUAACUCCGUGCCAGCAGCCGUGGUAAUACGGAGGGUGCGAGCGUUAAUCGGAAUUACUGGGCGUAAAGCGCGCGUAGGCGGUCUGAUAAGCCGGUUGUGAAAGCCCCGGGCUCAACCUGGGAACGGCAUCCGGAACUGUCAGGCUAGAGUGCAGGAGAGGAAGGUAGAAUUCCCGGUGUAGCGGUGAAAUGCGUAGAGAUCGGGAGGAGUACCAGUGGCGAAGGCGGCCUUCUGGACUGACACUGACGCUGAGGUGCGAAAGCGUGGGUAGCAAACAGGAUUAGAUACCCUAGUAGUC
Molecule: ribosomal RNA, 464 nt
Filed under: Vreelandella stevensii
Lineage: Bacteria; Pseudomonadati; Pseudomonadota; Gammaproteobacteria; Oceanospirillales; Halomonadaceae
Description: partial 16S ribosomal RNA
Rfam family: Bacterial small subunit ribosomal RNA
Source: RNAcentral